AUUGACACUCAAACUGUUGUGCCAGAGUAGAGUUUUGAGAAUCUCUUGGAUUGUAAGAAAAUAAAAUCAGUCAAUACUUAAAAAUUUUAUUCAGACAACUCACUGGAAGGUCAAAUGCUGAAGCUUAAACUAAUAAUCAGGUCAUCAGAAUGCAGGACUCAUUGGAAAGGACCCUGAUGCUGGAAAUAUUGAAGGAAAAAGAAGAAAGAAACAAUGGAGGAUAAGAUGGAUAGAUAGUGUCAUGGAAACAAUGAACAUGAGCUUCAGAAGAUAGUGAAACAUAGAUGAUCCUGGCAUGCUUUGGUUGACAAAUAAACAAUUAAACAACAAUACAAUACAAGUAUUUGAGAAUUGUGAAACAAAGCAUGCUAUUAUCUCAAAGGGAGAUGUUGCUUACUGAGAACUCAAGAAAUGAUUAUGGAGAAGAUAACAUUUGAAUCAGGAUUUUAAGAAUGAGUAGGAAUCCAGUGGUCAAAGAAGUAUAAUCAUAGACUUAUAGGUGGAAAGACCUUAGAGGGCAGAACCAGGAGUAAUGACCAGAAGUCACAAAUUGUCUUAAACAUAGGAAAAGUCUUCUAAAUAAUGAGAUCUACAUUAAAACAGAUGAGUUUCAAGUGAUGAUAGUUUCAAUAGAGAUUUGACUUGGAAAGAGCCAAAGGAAAUGAAGAAAGAUUCAUCAAGAGAUAGGAUAGUGACCAAGAUCUAGAAGAGAGAUUCCUGGGCAGCAUAAUAGUGGUACUGUUACUUGCUGGGUUUUGAUGGCUACUCAUCUAAAAGACUUUGGAAAUACAACAUAUUCUGUAGCAGCUUUUCAAAUCUGUGCUUGCAUAUCAUUUUACUUAUUUAGGGUCUUGUAUGAGAAGAAGAAUAACAGAGAUUAUGCUACCAGGCUUGAAUGAAGUUGGAAGAGAGAAACUAACAACUCUGGGUAACUUGCCUCACUUAAAUCCAACUCAGAAACACACCAAGACCUCAUCUUCAUGAUAUCAUUGAUCCUCUUCAAAAAAAAGGACAAAGAACUCUUAAGGGAAUUAUUUGAGGGAAUAUACAAAAAAGAUGUUAACAAUUGGACUUUGUAAUCAAAUAGUUAGCAAGUGUUUUUUAUAAGCACAAGUUACUUAGUUGUCUUGAACCAAAGACCUAAAGCUGGUAUGACGAGAAAAGUGGUCAAAACAAGAGACUAAAUCCUAGCCUAGGAGCUUCACCUAGCUUUUACUAGUUUCUGUUGCACAUACUAUAUUAUCGUCCUCAGCUAUUCAGUAAAAGAGCUUCAAUUCAUCCUUUCAGAAGGCUUCCUAGCUAGGAUAUUUUAGGGUAUAGUAACAGAGGGCAACAGAAAGUCUUAUUUAAGAGAGAUUGGAACCAUGGCAGCCAGGAAAGAAUAGAGUUAUGACACACAGCAGAGAACACUCCAUGAUCCUCUGGUGAGAGAGGACAU
This 1438-nucleotide long non-coding RNA is filed under the name Monodelphis domestica (gray short-tailed opossum). RNAcentral's name for it is "lncRNA (ENSMODG00000047475.1)". Lineage: Eukaryota; Metazoa; Chordata; Mammalia; Didelphimorphia; Didelphidae. The record is from RNAcentral.